This is a long non-coding RNA of Podarcis raffonei (Aeolian wall lizard), 600 nucleotides long. RefSeq lists it as uncharacterized. The transcript has 2 exons. The record is from RefSeq and is a predicted model, not a curated record. Lineage: Eukaryota; Metazoa; Chordata; Lepidosauria; Squamata; Lacertidae.
GUAGAAUCAAGAUUACAAUCUGGAACUUCAUCAUGUCUUUUGUUAGGCUGAAUCAUGCUUAUUAUUAUUAGCAAACCUAAAAAGGACAGUCCAAAGGUUGCCAUGGUGGCUAUGAAAUCCUGAGUCACUCCUCGUAUAAUAACGCCUCCUGUGGACUAUUGCAGCCCCCACUCAGACCAACAGCCCAGAAAUCUCCAACAUGGUAAAACUGAGACCACCACAGAGAUGGUUAGAACCUCAGUGUCUCCUCACAGCCCAACACUGAUGGGUAAAAAAACAGAAAAGAAAAAGGAAUUCCUAUGAAAUACAGCUGUUUUGCCUGACCCUAGCCAUCUAUUCACCUGUGAUGCUUUGCAGAUAAUGCAGCUGGACAUCUCCAGGACAGAAUAAGACACAGUGUCACACCAGCUAGGUUUCUGUAGCACAUGCCAGAUCGAUCCCUUCAUCCAGGAUUAAAUCCAGGAGAACUUUCCUCUUAUAUAUCUUGGCACAAUCUCCUUCUCCCCACCUCAGGCUAAUAAACAUACCUCCCUUACUUGCCCAGAAUUAGCAACAGAUCUUCUCCGCAAAAUCCUUCCCAUGAGACAAAAAAAAAAGAAC